RNAcentral lists this ribosomal RNA (253 nucleotides) under uncultured bacterium. Its description in RNAcentral is "partial 16S ribosomal RNA". It matches the Rfam family "Bacterial small subunit ribosomal RNA", at positions 524 to 776 of the family's 1533-position model. The record is from RNAcentral.
UACGGGGGGGGCAAGCGUUGUUCGGAAUUACUGGGCGUAAAGGGCUCGUAGGUGGCCAACUAAGUCAGACGUGAAAUCCCUCAGCUUAACUGGGGAACUGCGUCUGAUACUGGAUGGCUUGAGUUUGGGAGAGGGAUGCGGAAUUCCAGGUGUAGCGGUGAAAUGCGUAGAUAUCUGGAGGAACACCCGUGGCGAAAGCGGCUCUCUGGAACGGUACUGACGCUGAGGCGCGAAAGCGUGGGUAGCAAACAGG